RNAcentral lists this ribosomal RNA (466 nucleotides) under uncultured bacterium. RNAcentral describes it as "bacterial SSU rRNA". It matches the Rfam family "Bacterial small subunit ribosomal RNA", at positions 33 to 507 of the family's 1533-position model. The record is from RNAcentral.
ACGCUGGCGGCGUGCUUAACACAUGCAAGUCGAGCGGAAAGGCCCUUCGGGGUACUCGAGCGGCGAACGGGUGAGUAACACGUGAGUAAUCUGCCCUUGGCUUUGGGAUAACUACCGGAAACGGUGGCUAAUACCGGAUACGACGCACUCAGGCAUCUGAUGUGUGUGGAAAGUUUUUUCGGCCAGGGAUGUGCUCGCGGCCUAUCAGCUUGUUGGUGGGGUAAUGGCCUACCAAGGCUUCGACGGUAGCCGGCCUGAGAGGGUGACCGGCCACACUGGGACUGAGACACGGCCCAGACUCCUACGGGAGGCAGCAGUGGGGAAUAUUGGACAAUGGGCGGAAGCCUGAUCCAGCAACGCCGCGUGAGGGAUGACGGCCUUCGGGUUGUAAACCUCUUUCAGUACCGACGAAGCGCCGAUGAUGGUGGUGACGGUAGGUACAGAAGAAGCACCGGCCAACUACGUG